CAGGGUAUUUGUUUCUGCCGCUGGAUUUGUUGUUUCGGGGCGUGACUGACAGCUCCGGGGGGGAGAGGACAAUCUAGCAGCAUUUCAGCUUUUGCUGUCUCGCGGGAGCUUGGACGACGGAGAAGACCGAUUCACUGCGUGCGUGCGCCGGGCUUAUGUAAGCCGCAGGCGGCCGCGGAGUGGAGAAAGGAAUGCGGCGAGGUGCGGGGGCAGGGAGAGCUGGCCGGGCAGGCGCCGCAGUGCAGGCUCGGCCGCAGAGCUGCGCGUGGAGGUGCCGCGGUGACUGAAACCCUGCAGUGCAGAGCCAGCAGCAGGGGCGGAGGAGGGAGCAGAGGAGCUUCUAGCGGCGGUGCUGGGGCGCAAAGCCCUAAUUUGGCAAUGCUCAGGGGGUAGGGCUGGGGAUGGUGGGGAAAGCUGCCUUAUUGGGGCUUGCUUGUGACAAUAGGUGGGGGUGUGCAGUGUGGGAGGGAGCUGAGGAGGCAGAGGGGAGAGGCAAAGGCCAGCGGCCUUGGAGCUGCUUCAUAGGCGGCAGGAAUUAAAGCGGCAGGCUCCUGUAACUGAUUAGCAGCAGGGUUUCUCCUAUGGGCCUCUCCCCUAAAUUCUGUCUUCCUUAUAAUUUCACCCCAUCUUUGGCUCUCCGAAGCGAAGCCGCAGCGCACAGCUGCCCACCCAGCCCCUGGUAAGCAGCAGAAGCCUCUGCUGGAGUCGUCCCGCUGGGGAUGCUCUACGUCUCAGCCGAGUAGGCGGCUGCAUGGUGCACCAAUCAGGUGGUUGCAAUCCCACAAUAUUUAUUUGAACUUAUUCUGCACAAGGAACAAGGCUGGGCUUUUUCAGGGCAUAUUCCUGCCCUCUGGGUCUAGCAGGAUAAUGGUAAGAAAUAGGACAAUGGCCCAGAUAAAUAAGUAAUACAGCCCAAGAUGGUACCUGAAAACCUGGAGGGAGAUGCAAAGGCUACAUGUUUUUUUUGUAGAUUCACAUACCUAACACCUCUGUCCUUCCAGCUGAUUUUCUGCUUUGGAGGAGCAAGAUGGGGGUCAUUUUGUCUGAUCUCUGCCAAUCUGAUCGGGUUGUCCAUAGGCCUAAAGCCAAUCGUACAUUUCAGCUUCUAUCCAGUGUCCAUAUAUUCAUCUCUCUGUGCUCUGGGAGGGAAAGCUGGCUUUGAAAAGCAGAUGGACCUGGGUAGAGGUCUUGGCACUGCCAUUUACUUGCUUUGGGUUGUUGGGCAAGUAACUUCACUCGCUGUCAGUUUUCUCGUCUGUGAAAUGGGACUUAAAUAAAAUGUGGUUAAGAGCACAGGCUCUGAAGUGACCCUGCCUGGGUGUGAAUACAGAACCCAACACUUAUUAGCUGUGUGAUCGUGGCUAAGUUGCUAAACCUCCCAGUGGCUCAGUUUCUUCAUCUGGAAAAUGGGGAUAAUAACAGCACCUACAUCAUAGGGUUGCUGUGAGGAUUAAAUAUGUUAAAAUAUGCAGAGAGCUUAAGACAGUGGCUAGCACAGAGUAAGUUUUUUAUAAUAAUGAUAAUAACAAUAAUAAUUUCAUCUCAAGGUUGCCGUGAGGUAUAAAUUAAACAACGUUCUUAGAAGUACCUGGGAAAUAAAUACAAAUACAUGUGACUAUCUCCUUCCUUUACUUAUAAGGAGUUAGGAAAUAACAGAAGAGCCCUCUGUGCUAACAUUCUGCACCUCAGAAUUAAAUCUAAUAUGGGGAGAUAACUUUUUCUUCUUUUGCCACUUUACCUUUAAGAAAAUGGAAACUAAAGUUGAUAUAGGGAAUGAUUAUUAAUAUGAUGUAAUAGCUCUCAACAUUAAAUUAAAAAGUCAUGCUAAAGAGCAAUUUUCAAAAAGGUAAAAAUUAUGACUCACAUACAAAUACAAAACGCAUAAACUUCAAACGUUUUAUUUAACCCCUUAAUUAGGGAAUGAGUAAGAUGCUAACAUCUGUUCAAAGGAGAAUUUGAAGAACACACACACACAACCAGGAAUGUAGAGAUGAAUUUGCUAGUGGAUACAAAACCCGUUAAUAGCCUAUAGCGCGAUGUUUGCAAAGUAUAAUAUUUAGAGUCAACUUUUUUACAGGAUGGAAAUCAAUCAGAUCUCUACCAUUUGCAUUUUUAUAGGAAAGAAUCAUUUGCUUUACUAUCAGUUUUCUGAAACUUAACUUGCAUUCCUACAGAGCUGUCAAAUUGCCUAGUGAAUGAAAACAGUUGAAGAUGCACAGCCUAUAGAAUCAGAUAGUUCCCAGAGUCUGCUAGCCUGUGCCCAGGUCUUCCCUGAAAGGACACCCAGUAGAGUCCCUGAUGUUUAAAGAUGAAUCAAAUGAUAAAAUACCUUUUAAGUUGGAAAGAGGGGAGGUUUAUUUGUGAGAAGCAUUGACACUUGUGAGUUCAUUAUAUAAAAUGAGGUGACUACAUUUGUGAUGCUACCUUAGCAAACCCCUUGGGUUCCCAGGAUCAAGACCACCCUCCUUCAAAUGUGAGACUGUUUAGUGUUGAUAACUGAUACCAGGAUACCUGGUACCAGAGGCUGCUUUUUGCUAUCAGGCUCAUCAGAGAGAUUCUAUGGCCUGAUGACUCCUCUUCCGGAGGUGCUGCAGGCUUGAACAAGAAGUCUUGCCUCAGGUCUCCCAGGGAGUGGGAUAGGAACCCUGAAGUUGGGAAGGGUAGAGGAAGGGAGGGUCUAGGCCCAUGGUGGUUUGAUCAACACUAAGCCAUUGGGCCGCAAAAUAGGAGAGCUCCCUCCUCUGACUUCCUGGCUUCUCCAGCACUGUCUAUCAUAAGUCCGGGAACCAUAUUUAUAUUAACAUAUUUGUAAUCGUGAGCCCUCCAGGACCAGUUCAACUGACUCCAUCUUAUCAACAGAGUAAUUAAGAAAUUGUCUUUUAGAAAAAUUGCAAAGUCACCCAGCCAGAGCAUGUGCAGAAAAAGGAAACUUGACCUGAAAUGACUGUGGAACCAAGGAUUCCCCUUCUCAUGGAAUCAAAGGGCCAGGACCUGACCAGAGCUUAAAAGUCACACUUUCAUCAGAAGCAAGGGGUUUGUCAUUCUGGAAGAUCUAGUGUUAAAACUCCUUCCCCACUUUACCGUAAGUGUUUACAACCUCAUCAUACAUGUUUAUAACUUCAUCCUGAAUGUGCAGAACCUUACCGUAAAUGCUUGAAGCCCACCCAUCAAAACCUGUCUUGCCAGCGUUUCCAUGUGCCUAACCUCUUUAAUUUCACCCCAAAUCCUUAAUCAGAGAAUCAGAUCUGAGGGCACUUGCCUUCUGUUCCCCUGAAGAUUAAUCUUGCAGAAUAGAGCUGAUUUCUUUUCCCCAAAGCUGCCAUAGUUAAUUGUCUUUUUUUAUAUGCAUUGGGCGAGAGAACCCCAAUUUUGUGUGGUAACAUAUUCAGUCUCCAUGAAGUGGGAGACUUUUUUCCAGCCACUUUGGACAUACUCAUGGGCUAGUAGAAAUACCCAGAAUUAGAAGGAUUAAGACUCCUUGGAAAGUUUUUUCCAGGAACUCAAUGCUGCGUUUGCCCUUAGUUCCUAGAAGGCAGUCAGCUGUGUUUCUCAAAGCCUGGUUUGGGAGCUCCCUAAAUUACAGUCACUUUGAGUAUGGUCUGCAAACUGCUGAGCAUGAGAACAUUUAAAUAAUCAAGGGGCCAAUCUCUUCCCUGUCUCCAUUUUUUGGAAGUGAGACCAGCCAGUUUCUUAGAGCACCACAGGGAGGAAGGUAAGUGAGAGAGAAAUGGCAGAGUGAGUGGUUCUCAGUUGUGAUGCUGGGUGAUAUGGUGCAUCUCCCACAGUGUUCUCCGACUCCUCCUGAGUUUGGGGAAUCAGGGAGAAGUGAAGGAAGACACUGUGGAAUCAAUCGAAUAUGAUUUAUUCAUAGGCAGGAAUGAGAUGGCUUUGCUUUCUCUUUUUCUUACUUGGGCAACAUAAUUAAGUCCAAUUAAUGGGACCUAAUUUUAGGGGGAGUCUGUUUCCCGUUGUCUUUACCCAAAGAUGGCCACCAAAGUGCAGACGAGCUCUAUCUUACUGUAGGAGAGGAACACGGAUUCUUGAUAAUGAAGGGGAAAAUGGCAAAUGGAUGUUUAUUGUGGCUUCUCUGUCUGCAGGUGGCCAACUGGGGUGGAGGUGGGGGACAGAGGGUAGAGGGCCAGAAGACACACUUUGUGUCUUGAGCUGACACUCGCCUGCAUCGACUUGCCUGCUUUCUGCCAGGAGAGGCCAAGCGCUGUCCUCCAGCUCUCUUUCACGCUGCUGGAGGGGAGGCAGCACCGAGGGACCUGGUUGCCUCCUCCCUUCGUCCCAACCUGAACAAAGAUGAGCAGCUGAGUGGCUUUCCUCAAAGUACGCUGGGCCACUGGGAUUUUUAACCGGAAAGGGCUCGUGGGGUAUUGCAAUUUGGCAGCAUUAGAGAUCCACUCUUCUUCUGACCUCCAAUCUAAGUAAUUAGAGCUUUCUCAUCUCACUAAACAGGGAACAUCUAGGGCAGCGUGGGACAGAAUUAGAACCAACCCACCAGGAGACCAGCACUCAGCCCGAGGAGGACAGCACCAUGCUACGACCCAAAGAUGGGAGAAGAUGAAUCAGAUAGAGGCAGGCAGACACCUCCCCGAUCUGCAUUUGUUGUUGUUGUUGUUUUUUAAACAGAAAAAUGACUCUCUCAACAAACCCCUCUAACAAACAAAUGAGCCUAGGAUGAGAUUUCCAGCGCACCCCCUUCCCUGACAGGAAUAAUAAAUUAAUCCUAGGCUGCAGCAGCUGCCGGGGCAUCACUCAGGGCUGUUUCCAUUCAGUCCCAGGAGAGCCCCCGAAAGCCACUCCCCACCCCAUGCCAGCGCUGCUAAAUUUAGCUCUUCUGGCAUGUGCGCAGUGUAUUUUUAGUGCCUGAAAGUCAGAGUUCAGCAUACAAUUCAUCAAGCCAUCAGCCAUCCUCCAUCCAAGCGACACGUAGAGAAAAAUCCUUCCAAAAGAGGCACUUGCUCUCCACCAGGGGUAAAAGCCAUUCUAAGAGCAAGAAUUCACUGGGCCAAAGGGGUUUUCUCCUGACUGGGAUGAUGUGAGGAGUGCCUGAGAGUGCCAGGCAUGGAGCCAGGGAGCAGAGUGUGGCUCCAGAGAGCCAGAGGGCAGGGGCAAGGGGAGGCAAGAAAGCAGGGAAGGGUCAGCAGGCCCUGCUGCAAUUAUUCUGUUCCCACUGAAGUUGCCGGCAACUGGGUGUGGGUUUUAAGGCCCCAGCUUAGAUGUCACUUCUUGUGGAAACUUGACUUGAGACCCCUCAAAGUGGAUUAGGAGCCCCUCCACUGCACACUGUAUUUCCUCUGCCACACUGCACAGCAGCUACCUCCUGAAACUGGAAUGUGCAAACAAAUCACUUGGAAUGUUGUUAAAAUGCAGGUUCCAUUUUGGUAUAUCUGGGACCUUAGAUCUUGCCUUUCUAGUAAGCUCUCAGGGCAAGACUCUGGUAGUGCCACAGAGGGGCUGCUCUGGGGCAGAGGCGAUACCAGGCUGACCAGCCUAUAGCAAAUCCAGACAUUGCCUCAGGGGCUGAGCUUGUGAGUUUAUAGGUGAAGGCAUUAUAGGAGGGGUGUUGGUAAGGAGGAAAGUGCGGGUCUUCAUCCCCGCUACCCCAUAACACCAUGAUUGCUGGCCAGUGGAGCUGUACCAGGUAAGAGAGAGAUCCUAGUACGUGGGAAAGAAGGAUUGCCCAUGGACUGCAGUUCAGGCCUGGAGCUGUUUCCACUCUCGCACCUGGAGACCUCUCUUUCAUCAGAACAAGCAAUGCUGCGGGGGUAACUAAAGGCUGGGGCUGCUGUGGAGGGGCUUGGGUUUUCCUGCUCCUGAGGCGCAGCCCAAGAGAUAGAUGGUUAACGGUUCUCAUAGGACAAUCCAUCGGGGAGGUGGGGGAGGUUUCAGGGUACCAGUAAACUGACAACAAAGAGUGGUGAAAGACGAAAUACACCAGACAAUUAAGGAGAUGAUUUAAUUGAGACUAUUGUAACAGGGAGAAAUUCAUGAAUGAGCAAUGUCUCAAGGUAAAGGAAGGAGACCCCGUGGUGGUACAGAGGCAAACAAAUGACAUCAUGAGGACGGGUCUUAUCUCAGAACAUUCAGACUAUUGGAGGGAAGGUGGGCCUUUGAAGUUAACAAUUUUGGAAACCAAAAGACGUAGGAGAUGUCUCAGAACUGAAAGGACGGGGGGAAUGUCUUACCUUUGUUAUUUUCCAGGAGCACAGGGCUCAGGUAAGUUCCGACCGUGUCAGAAUAUGAGGCGGUGACUGUUAGGUAUGAAAGGGGGAUUGCUGUGGGGCAAGAGCAGGCCUUGAGUGCUUCAGAGCUCAGAUAAGCAAGAGGUCUCUGUGGACCAGUGUUACCUGGGAGCGUCGUAUGGUGGAGUUAGCUUAAACUUGCUCUUAAGCUAAUUGUUAAACGUACAGCAAUAUUGUGAGCUAGUUGUUAAACCAUUGGUAGUUUCAAAUUGGCCAUGGUGGGAGUAUUUACACCAUGAAAAUUGGCAAACACUAUAAAUCAGCGUUCCUCCUCCACUCACUCUUCAGGAGAGCUGGUUGUUACGCAUCUAUCGGAGUUCCACUGCCCAGAAGUCUCUGUAGAGGAGGCAGAACUUGAAAUGGACCUUACAAGUUGGGAAAAGAAGCAUCUUGUAUUUCUCUUCCACAGAAGUGUGUACAAUUACGUAUAUCUCCUUUUUAAGAAGAAAGUUGAUGCUCUUUUCCCAACUUGAGAGAGAGAAAAGAAUAAGAAGAUUCAAAGGUUUCUGUGUCUAAGGACUGAAUGGAUGGUGUACCACUUGGCGAGACAGAGGAUACAAGAGGAUUUUGACCAAAUGCAUUCAACAUGUAUCUGCAUGCAAACUCUUGAAGCUCUUGGCUGUUUUUUCCAACCACCGCGGUGAAUUCCGGAUGAGAGCUGGGGCUUGAAGAGAGACAGAGCUUUCUCUGGAAUGUCUGUUCUUCCUGCCAGUCAGUGUUCAUCUGGCAGGCCGGCCUUUGACUGCACUGGUAUUUUAAGCAUCUAAAUGUGUUCUAAGCUGGCCCGGCAGCCAUCCUAUGCAAUCCACGUCACUGCCCUUUACACCGGAGGGGACUUAGGGACCUUUGGAAUGCUCAAUCAGCAGAGCCUGCACUGAAUUGCAGUGGAAUCCAUUUGCCCAGGGACAGUAAGAAUAGACUGGAUUCUGAGGUGGGCAGAUCUAGAGCUUUUCUUAAAGGUGAGAGUGGUGUCAGGGAAGGAGGCAGUCAAAGAAGCAGUAAAGUUUGGAUAUGAUUUAAAUGAAAUACGCUUGAGAUAAAAUGAUCUCCCCACAAAAACAAAGCACAACUCCACAAAUCAAAAGGGAAAGGAGGCUAGCCUAGAAUCCAGCGAUGUAGACAUGUGUUGACGCGCCCAUCUCUGCGAGCUAGGGAAAGAGCAGUAUUUACUCAGAGAGCAGUUCAGCAUUAAUACCCGUAAAACACUCAGAACGGUAUCUGGCAGAUAGUAAAGCUCAAUAUAUAUUAAACAACAUAAUAAUACUGACAAAUUAUUCUUAUUAUUUUAUCAUUAUGCCGUGGCUAGAGCUUACCUGCUUCUUGUUUCUGUGUCUUUUUCCAUACCAUGAAGAAAAUUGUUUAAAUAUACGACAGAAAUUAAUAGAUUGGUUAAUGUAGUUCUUAUACAAGGAUGAUAUUGACAACCAUGAAACACAUCCCAAAUGUGACGUGAAGGUAAGGUUGGGUAGUGGGAAGAGGUUUUGAGCCAGAGAGCCCUCAGGCAGCCUAGGCACUUGGCCAAGCUACUUAACUUCCAAGAACCUUACUUUUAUGAUUUGUGAAGUAGAGAAGAUAAUAUCUACCCUUGAGAUUGUUAUCAGGGUUGAAUAAAUCAAUGUAUAUAAUGUAAUGUGAAUAGCGUUGGGUACACAGAAUAACUCCGACAACGGUAGCUGUGAUUAUUAGGAACUUUGGUGGAUUCCUUAAGUGGGAAAAUUCUUAUUUUUUCUUUCCAUGUACAGAAAUCUUCUUUACCUUUUCAGGACCAACUUGAUGCCAACCUCCGUGAAAAUCCCCUCCAGAUUCUCUUGGUCAGAUUUACUCUUUCCUUCCUCUGGACUCCUAUUACAUUUUGCGGAUGCUUCUCUUUCUCAGUCUCCCUUCCCCCAACUCAUCUUGAAAGUCUUUUUCCUUGCAUGUCUGAGCUAGAUUUAAGAUUUUUUAUGCAUCUCUGGAUCUCUUUGCUGUUUAGUAAAAAGGCUAGGAUAUAGUAGGCAUCUAACAAAUAUUUAUAGAAUUGAGAGUUCUCUCUAAUCCUCAAAGCCAGGAAACUGACUUACAUUUAAAAGAGCCUCCCUCUCUUUUCCCAAAUUACCCCUAUCAGAAUUUCUGCAACAACAUAUAGUAGUGACUAAAUGUAUAGUGUCUGAUGUCAGCAGGUCUCUUUUGGAAUCCUAUUCCAGCAAUUGAUAGCAUGUUGCCUGGUAUAUCACAGGUAGCUAAUGUUAUGCUAUCUAUCAUUAUUGUUAUUGUCAUUGUGGGUACCGUCAUCAUCAUUAACAGAGACAAUGUCCAUCUUGCUUAUAAUGGAUGUAGGGAAGAAGGACACAUACAUGAUGCAACCAAAGCUCAGUAUAUGACUGAUAGUUAAGAGCCCUCACUUCAUGUGGAGCACGGAUGGCACAUCUGGUUCCAAUCAAGAAAUGAUCACUCUCUUGGCACGACAGAAAGGAAACAAACUAUUCUGAGGUCAUUUCAACAGCUUCCUGCACCAGCUGGUCAAAGUAAUUAGAACAGCUAAGUGCCCAGUAAAGCCAGGCAUAGAAUGGACUCCACUUCCGUGACAGGGAUAAGGUAGCAUAUUAUAAAAAUACACGUAAAACUCUGAGGACAAGCAUUAGUCAUUGUAUCUCCAGUGACUGAAAGAGACUCUGAUUUGGUGUAGGACAGAGGCUGUGAAAGGGGAGGUUGACGAGAGGAGGAUCUCAGUCACUUAAGCUACUGCCGGGCUCUUCUCUGCUGUAACCGGGCUCGUGUUAUUAACAUCCAAGAAGAGGGGAACUGAAGCUGUAACACACAUGACAGUGUGGUGUAAUGGAAAGAAAAGGAGAUUCAAAUCCUGGGUUUAACACUUACUAGCUCUGUGGCUUUUGCAAUUUGCUUAAUCUCAGUGAAUUUCAGUUUCCUAAGGAUGUUUGGGAGAAUUAGAGACGAUGUUACAUACCCAUGCUCACCACCUGGCAACUUCAUUAUUGAGGACUCUAAUACUUGACACCUGAUUUUUUUCAAAUUAGGGAAGAAUAAUAAAAAUUAGACAGUUAUAAAAAAAAUCAAUUUCAGUGAAAAUGUUCUGACUGCUGUGAGUUUUGGGCAUGGGCCUCCUAAGACUCUUCUUGCCCUGGAUCAGAACCUCAGCAGACAGUAAAUUGGUUUCUUUCUGUUCUGGGUCCUCUUCUGUACCCCAAUUUUCAGCUUAGAAAGUUCUUGAAAUUGUUCUUAGGGGCACUGAGCUGAGGCAUGGGGAAAUAUCAAUGCUCACUUGUUCCUACUAUGGAGAAGAUUGCUCAAGGGCACAUGUCCCACUGAUGGUGAAUUAGUGAUGUCAUCUUCCUACAUGAAGAACAUUAUUAAUAUCACAGUGACUCACACUGUGUGACUCUCCAGGCACUUGCCAGAGGGGAAGGGUGGGGAUAGAUCUACAAAAAUAUGGAGGGAGGAGAAGAAGGAUUGAGACUUAGAUGAAAUAUUUUAAAUGAGGAAUUAGCACCCUCUUUAGCUUUGAGAGAUGAGAAACACAGAAGUCACUGGUGGCCUAAUGAAAGUUAGGAGAGAGAGGGAAGUUGGAGAGGGAGUUAGAAAAGGUGAAGGGAAGAGAUCAAUAAAGAAGGAAGGAACCAGAAAAGAGAAAGGGAAAAAGGAGGAUGUAGGAAAAGAGUGUCAUUAUUUAGGAUUGAAACUCAAGCUAUGGGGACGACCAAUAAAAGAAGGUUAAAUUUGUAAAAUACACUGAGAGGUCAAAGGGGUCCCAGAAAGAAGGUAUUUAUGAACAUCUAAGUCAGUGGUUUUUGAGAAUUUGGUGAAAUCAAUGGAUAAAAAAGAGUAUAUAAAUUCCAAAUGUUGAUACACUUUCGUGGAAUUCCCAGUUUCCCUAAGGCUGCUCCAUGGAUCGCCCUCUUAGGAGAUUCUGCUUUAUGGAUUCACAUAGGUUAUCGUGAGACAGUGACGGGUCUAGAGCUUCCUCAGGCAGGUCUGUGUGUCAAACAGGGUUUAUGAAUAUUACUUUUUUGGUGUUUUCUCAGCUGCAUGGAUGUCACUUUUUCAAAUCUAGUUAUAUUUAUUUAUUUAAUCACUAUAUUGAUUUCUUUUUUAAAUUUCAGGAAGUGUUGGUGGAUUUUUUUUUAAACGACUGUUAGUAAAUGAUCCAAGGGUUUUGGGCCAAACAAAAGAGGAUCAUGACCUCAAAUAAAACCUACCAUUUGGGUGUUAGGCUCUUUCAAACGGGAAGAAGGACGUCCAUUGGGGUUUCCUUAAGUGACAGGGUUUGUUUUCAAUAUACGUAUAGAAUUAAGAAAAACAGAAGUUGCAUUUCAUGGACCUCCUGAAGGAAAAGAAGCAUCAGGAUGCCAGGCCACACAGAGACUGUUGUUUAGGAACCACAUUAUUUAGGGUUUGGUGUAGCUUGAACAAUCUUGCCCCCGCUCAGCAGCAGACAUCUGUUGAUUUCUACUCUAGUGUUUCUCUGUUCUGGUGGCUCUUCUACUCUUUGCACUCUUCCUGUUGCCACCUCCAUUCUCUUUUACAGAUUCUGCCUUCUAGUCUUUUGCCUUGCUAUUUCCUCUAUCUGUGUUUGUUUUCUUCCCCCCAUUUUUAAGUGCUGACCUUUUUAAAUGUGCCCCAUUUGUUUAUUUUUUCUAUUGUUUCCCUUGCCUGAUCAGACAUAGUUCUUGAAAAUAUGCUGCUAAGACCCAUGUCGAAGAGCAU
This is a non-coding RNA of Equus caballus (horse), 10952 nucleotides long. NCBI's taxonomy places the organism in Eukaryota, Metazoa, Chordata, Mammalia, Perissodactyla, Equidae. The record is from RefSeq and is a predicted model, not a curated record.